This 278-nucleotide long non-coding RNA is filed under the name Salvia miltiorrhiza (redroot sage). RNAcentral's name for it is "long non-coding RNA (SMIL_LNC013494)". Lineage: Eukaryota; Viridiplantae; Streptophyta; Magnoliopsida; Lamiales; Lamiaceae. The record is from RNAcentral.
GACAAGAGUGUGAUAGAUACCUAUAACAGUGUAACAUAUUAUUUGAUUAAAAAAUUAAAGCCAUUUAAAAAGUAAUGUCCCGUUAUAUAUCAUCCAUAUCUUUUUUAUUAUGUAUCACAUAUGAGAGGUGUGCGAUAACACAUUUUUUUAAUCCCUCAUUCCAUGAAAAUUAUGACAUUUUUGGCGUCCAUUAAAAGUAUGACACUUUCCUUUUGGCCCCACAUCUUUUUCUUAUCUUUUAUCCUACAAAUACUCCUUAUUUACAAAAAAAAAAAAAA